UACGUAGGGGGCAAGCGUUAUCCGGAUUUACUGGGCGUAAAGGGAGCGCAGGCGGCGCGCCAAGUCUGAUGUGAAACCCCGGGGCUCAACCCCGGGCAUGCAUUGGAAACUGGCGGGCUGGAGUGCCGGAGAGGUAAGCGGAAUUCCUAGUGUAGCGGUGAAAUGCGUAGAUAUUAGGAGGAACACCGGUGGCGAAAGCGGCUCUCUGGCCUGUAACUGACACUGAGGCUCGAAAGCGUGGGGAGCAAACAGG
This 253-nucleotide ribosomal RNA is filed under the name uncultured bacterium. RNAcentral describes it as "partial 16S ribosomal RNA". It matches the Rfam family "Bacterial small subunit ribosomal RNA", at positions 524 to 776 of the family's 1533-position model. The record is from RNAcentral.